RNAcentral lists this ribosomal RNA (253 nucleotides) under uncultured bacterium. RNAcentral describes it as "partial 16S ribosomal RNA". It matches the Rfam family "Bacterial small subunit ribosomal RNA", at positions 524 to 776 of the family's 1533-position model. The record is from RNAcentral.
UACGUAGGGGGCAAGCGUUGUCCGGAUUCAUUGGGCGUAAAGAGCGUGUAGGCGGCCAGGUAGGUCGGUUGUGAAAACUGGAGGCUCAACCUUCAGAGGUCGACCGAAACCAUCUGGCUAGAGUCCGGGAGAGGAGAGUGGAAUUCCUGGUGUAGCGGUGAAAUGCGCAGAUAUCUGGAGGAACACCGGUGGCGAAGGCGGCAUCCUGGACCGAUACUGACGCUGAGGAGCGAAAGCCAGGGGAGCAAACGGG